Molecule: non-coding RNA, 965 nt
Organism: Doryrhamphus excisus (bluestripe pipefish)
Lineage: Eukaryota; Metazoa; Chordata; Actinopteri; Syngnathiformes; Syngnathidae
Source: RefSeq, a predicted model, not a curated record
GCAGUGACGUCACACUCAUCGGAUACAGUUGACCCAAUUUCAGCCCUCCCAUAGAGUGACAACAGCACAGUACCCGAACAAAUGCUAACAGUUCAACGGUCUACAGUGAAUAAACAGAUGGAGUAAACUGCAGAGGGCGGGAGAGAGCUGUGGAAGGGCUGCACUUCCCUAUGGCUGAAGUCACACUCCUGCAGUUGGCAUUCCACAAGCAAACAGAACAGACAGGAGGAGGAGAAGAAGAUGGCAACCAGGCUGUCUCCAAGGCUGAGUGGAAAUGAGCAGAAACUUGUGCGGCGGUAUAAGGAGGAGAGAGCUGCAAGCCACCAAGCCACGUACGUAUGGAAGGCGCGGCAGAAAGGCAGCAGGACUCGGGCUUCCGGCUGCCUCUUCAAGCAGGCGACUAUAACGGAUGACAUUUAAGGUAGCAGCUGUACCAUUACACCACCAAAGACAGAUUCGACUGCUCGCUCUUCUUCAAAGUGGUCAUGUGAUGCGACUUUUACACAGGAAGCCAACACAGGCAGAGGCGGACCGAUUAAGGAUCUGCGGUGACUACGGUAACUAACUCUCCUGGGCCAACCCGGUGGAGAGACAACACAACAGAGGGGCCCCACAGUCCAUGGGAGGGCCCAUUUUAUGCAAAGGGACACAUUCUUGGCAAAUUGCGCUUUGCUGCCGUGACAUCAAAUCCGCCCCGAGGCUCUGCCCCCAAUUAGCGAAUAAAAUUCACCUGAUCUCCUGUCAGUCCCUGUUGGAGUGGUGGUACACGGCAGCCUCUGAUACAAGACCUGGGGAAAAAAAUUCAACAAGAGGAGGCUUGUAUUAGGACCAAAAUGUCCGCCACCAAAUUUCAGCCCCCCCUUAGGCUAAUUAUAGAUGCUGACUUAGCAUGCUCCAUAGCUGUGAAUGGUAGGUCAUACUCUAUGUGGACUGUGAUUGGCUGAUAAUAAGUCCAGGGCGUCCAU